CGCAGGUGUUCGCUGGCGCCCGGAUGUCUGAGCUCUGGCUCCGCUCUGGCUCCGGCUCCCUCCGCAGCCUGCGGGCGGGGCUCCCAGCCCAUCCGGAGCCUCGCGGCGGCCCCGCCGCUCUGCCAGCAGCGCGGCCUCCCGGUUCCCAGCUUCCCGGCCUGGGGGGCCCCCCCAUCCAGCGGAGUUGCUGACCCGAGUGCUCUCCCGCUGCCCCCAGCUGCGCUCGGGCCGCUGCAGCCUCGGCGCGCCCCCACCCCGCUUCCUGGCUCGGCAGAUUUGCCCGGGCCGGGCGGCCGCCCUGGAUCGCACCCCCGUUCCUUCCUUCCUUCAUUCUUUCAGGCAGCUCGCAUUCCUCGAGCGCCUGCGACGUGCCCCGCACAAGGCCUCGCCGACCUUCCGAGUGUGGCCCCAGGCCCACCGGGGUCCUCUGGGAAGCCUCUGCCCUUCGCCCCAGUUCUCCCUCCCCACCCCGCCCGACUCUCCUCUCUGAUGUCCUCUUUCACUUAGAGUGUAGCAUUUAAUUGUUCUCUGAUUAUUUCUCCUGUUAAGGGUCAGUCAGUGGCAUGGUCAAGGGAUCACUUUGUGACCGAAAUCAGGGGUCAGUCUGAAAGUAGAGUGAGGGGUCAGAGUGCGGCCAGAAUUGGGGUUCAGCCAGACUGCGGCAAAGUUUGAAGAUAGUGUGGGUAGAAGUUGGCAGUGGUCAGUCUGUGGCUGGGCUUAAUAGACAGGGUGUGAGGGUUAAUCUGAAUAACAUCAGCGGCCAAGGUUAGUGAGUCAGUCUUUGGGUAGGGUCAGUGGACAAUCUGGAUCAGGCUAGUAGGUCUCCCAGAGACCAGGAUUUGGGGGUUGCCUUUGACAAGCUAGAUAAGGGGAAGGGGGCGCUGGAGCUCCCUGAACUCAGAUUCAUAUCCUCCCAUGGCUGGGGGCUGACCAUAGCCUCCUCCUGCAUCACCGAGGCUGUGGAGCUGGCCUUCCAUCUGGGACGCUCCGUGUCAUCAACACCACCCUGCUCCUACCUUGUGCCAGAUGCUGGAGGCAAAACCCUCAUUGGGCCAGGCUGUGGUCAGACUGGCAGUAACACUGGCCAUGGCAGGGCGGCCUUAGGCUUCCCAGGGACCCAGCCUUGGAGCCACCCAUGUUUAACAGCUGGUGGAAGGACAGAGCUUCAGACCCAGGCGCAGCCUGACCCAGAACCAGCUCACUCAUGAAAGCACCCCUCUCUAGAAGAAAAUGGGAGUUGGGGGUUGGCGGUUGGGGUAGGAAGGACAUGACCCAGAGGCCAGAGGACCUGGAGGCCAAAUGUGGUGUAAUCACAGCACGUGGAAUCGUAGUUCUCUGACCAGGGAUGGAACCAGCGAUCCCUGCCUUGGAAGCUCGGAGUCUCAACCAUUGGACCACCAGAGAAGUCCCCUGUGAAUCUUUUUGUAGACUUCCAGCUGAACAAACACUAUUUGGCCACUGAAAUGCCUUUGAGUGUCCACAGUUCCCCACUUGCUAGCAGUGUGAACUUGGACAAAUUCCUCAACUUCCUUCCUCCUCAGUGUCUGUACCUAUAAAAUGGGGAUAAUAAAAGUUUCUACUACAGACAGUUGUGAGGGUUAAAUUAACACAUACGUUCUUUAGAAUGUUCUCAUACAUUCUAUAGCCAUCUGUGCUUUUUAAUCAUAAUGUCUCCAUUUUUUAAAAAAAAAUAAAACUGACACUUCAGGAAGAUGUACAGAUUUUUAUCAUAUGGUUUUGUGAGACUCAGAGCCCAGCCAGCUUCACACACAGCCACACAUGUGUGUGUGCACCACACACACACAUGUGCAUGCAGACAGACGCACACACACUUUGAAGAAGGCCAUGCUACGCUGUGCUGCUUCUCAAAUGGGCGGAAACAAGCCUUCUUACCUUGGAGAGCUGCUGCUCGCUGCCUCCCACUCACCAUGCUCUGCAGAGGGAGACAAGAAGCUGUGCUCCCCUCGCAGCAAGAGAAUUCCUUGGCAAAACUGACUUGGGAGGAAGCCCUGGCUCCAGCUCUUAACCCAACUAUCAGAGCCGAGGUCUCAGUCCUGGUUCUCUCCCCUCCUUGCUGUGCAACCCUGGGCAUGUAGCUUCACCUUUCUGAGCUUUGGCUUCUCAUGUGUGAAAGGGGGCUGACUGUUUCUACCUUUCAGGGUUGUUGUGAGGAUUAGAGAAAUGCACAAAAAGUGCCUGGCAUGUAGAGUUCUUUGUAAAUGGCAGUUCUUCAAAGCCUGGCUGGUUCUUUAAGUUGGUAAGAGCUAUCUUUUUUAUAUUCUUUAAUAGAACAGGGUUAUGGUCUUUGUGCCUUACAUCAUUAAUAUACUUUAUUGCUUUUUAAACACAUCUGUUAAUCCAAUAAAGGAUUUUAUCCUCCAAAAAUUAUUUUCUUUCCUAUUCUAUUCAUAUUGUACGAUGCCUGGGCAAGUCAGUGGAGCCCACUGAGCCUCAGGUUCCUCAUCUCCAUCACAAGGUUGUUUGGAGAAUUCAGUGAGACAGUGUAUGUAAAAGUGCUUUGUACAUUGUAAAGUCCAACAAGGGUAAGAGGUUACUUUUUGCACCAGCGCCCCCUCCCCCCUCACUAGGCUGAAUUCCUCAAACACAGGAGGGAGUUUUAUUUACCUUUGUAUCCCCUGCA
Molecule: long non-coding RNA, 2641 nt
Organism: Hippopotamus amphibius kiboko
Lineage: Eukaryota; Metazoa; Chordata; Mammalia; Artiodactyla; Hippopotamidae
Exons: 3
Source: RefSeq, a predicted model, not a curated record